CCUGCUUCAGAUUCUCUGUUCCCCCUCCCCCCUGUGCCCCAUCCUAAAUCAACAUUAAAAAAAGGAAAGUGGGCAUGAUGUACUAUGUAAGAGAAACUACAGAAAAGAAGGCCUUUUGUAAUGUAAUGAAUGUAUUGAGCUGCUGUAUAUGAGAAGCUCCAUGCCAAAUAUUGGGGAUUAUAUGGGUCCCUUGGAAAAUCCUGCUCAUGGGGUAAGAAAUCUUUUGGAUCUUUAUAUGUGACAGCUCUUUACUCACCCUCAACACUGAGGAACGGUCAGCGAUAUUCCUAAGUUUUUAGGAUAUGAAGGAAAAAAAGAAAAAAAUGGAGGAGAAACAACCCUGAGAAGUCUUCCAGCUCACCUCUGCAGUGUCUCAAGUCUAAUCCUCCACAAAGCUUGAAGUUCCUUAGAGUUCACAGAGAGACUCUGGUAAUCCGUCAUUAAGCUAUAUUUCUCCUGGUCCUUGGCAAGACAGAACCUAGCAUGCUACACUUUCUGAAGAGGGAGUGCUACUCAGUUGUUGCUGUUGUCUCUGAGCUCAGAGGAGAGGUCCCUUGGGCUGUGAGCCAGACUUCUAAGGAGGGCAUGUCAGUCAAAUAGAGCUGAUAUCAACAGAGCUGGUUCUCUGAGUGCUGGGGAAACUGAAAACUGGAUUCACUUGCUGUUUUGGAAGAUGACUGUCACUGCCAAGGUGGAGACUCCUGGCUGAUCUGAUGCUCACAGGAAACAGAGCAGUCAGGAAGCCUACCAGAAACCAACAGAGAACAGGAAAGAGAAAGCCCCUUUCUUCCCCUCCAGCCUAGCUGGCUCUUUCUGGCUCCUGUCACUGCCAAAGCUUAACAGGCCUCAGUUUGUAUACAAGUAAAUGGUUUGCAGAGUGCCAUCACAAAGGGUUGGAGAAGGUGGGUUUAGAG
Long non-coding RNA from Suricata suricatta (meerkat), 914 nucleotides. RefSeq lists it as uncharacterized. The transcript has 5 exons. NCBI's taxonomy places the organism in Eukaryota, Metazoa, Chordata, Mammalia, Carnivora, Herpestidae. The record is from RefSeq and is a predicted model, not a curated record.